GAUAAACGCUGGCGGCGUGCCUAAUACAUGCGAGUCGAGCGGCAGCGCGAGUAGUUUACUACUUGGCGGCGAGCGGCGGACGGCUGAGUAACGCGUGGGAACGUGCCCCAAAGUGAGGAAUAACUGCCCGAAAGGGUAGCUAAUGCCGCAUAUGCUCUUCGGAGUAAAGCUUUCGAGCGCUUUGGGAGCGGCCCGCGUCCGAUUAGGUUGUUGGUGAGGUAAUGGCUCACCAAGCCGACGAUCGGUAGCUGGUCUGAGAGGAUGAUCAGCCAGACUGGGACUGAGACACGGCCCAGACUCCUACGGGAGGCAGCAGUAAGGAAUCUUCCACAAUGGGGGCAACCCUGAUGGAGCAACGCCGCGUGCAGGAUGAAGGCUUUCGGGUCGUAAACUGCUUUUAUAAGUGAAGAAUAUGACGGUAACUUAUGAAUAAGGAUCGGCUAACUACGUGCCAGCAGCCGCGGUAA
Molecule: ribosomal RNA, 467 nt
Filed under: uncultured bacterium
Lineage: Bacteria
Description: partial 16S ribosomal RNA
Rfam family: Bacterial small subunit ribosomal RNA
Source: RNAcentral